Molecule: ribosomal RNA, 510 nt
Filed under: uncultured bacterium
Lineage: Bacteria
Description: partial 16S ribosomal RNA
Rfam family: Bacterial small subunit ribosomal RNA
Source: RNAcentral
GACGAACGCUGGCGGCGUGCUUAACACAUGCAAGUCGAACGAAGAGCGUAUACCGUUUCUUUCUACCCCAUUUACUGGCGAUCGGGUGAGUAACGCGUACUCAACCUUACCCUCCGUGGUGGCUGACAGUAGCUAAUGACAGCGAAAACUACAACCGCAUUAUUCUGGGUAUCGCGGGUAAAUUAAUGGAAGGCUCUAAUUGUAACACUACACGAUAGGCGGGGGUUGCGUUAGCUUAGCUAGUAGGAGGGGUAACGGCUCACCGAGGCGAUGAUACAUAGCCGACCUGAGAGGAUGAACGGCCACAUUGGGACUGAGACACGGCCCAGACUCCUACGGGAGGCAGCAGUAGGGAAUCUUCGGCAAUGGACGAAAGUCUGACCGAGCAACGCCGCGUGAGUGAUGACGGUCUUCGGGUCGUAAAGCUCUGCUAUUCGAGACGAAAGGCCGUGUGACUAGUAAGUAGAAAGUGUGACGGUACCGGAACAGAAAGCCACGGCUAACUACGUG